Long non-coding RNA from Humulus lupulus (European hop), 1070 nucleotides. RefSeq lists it as uncharacterized. The transcript has 6 exons. NCBI's taxonomy places the organism in Eukaryota, Viridiplantae, Streptophyta, Magnoliopsida, Rosales, Cannabaceae. The record is from RefSeq and is a predicted model, not a curated record.
CUACUCCCACUCUCUUUCUGCUGCCUCUCCUCUCUUCUCUCUCAGCCUCAGCCUAUCUCUCUUCUCUCCCUUAGCCUCAACGAACUCCCUCAGUCGCACUCUCUCUCACCGAUUGACAAAGGCUCGGGGCUGCAAGGGGCUGGACGACACAGAGGCUUGGGGGUUGUGAGGGGCUCGAUCGACAGAGGCUCGGGGGUUGCGAGGGGUUGGACGACGGAGUGGCUUAGGGCUGGUGUGGGCUCUGGGGCUGGACGACGUGGAGGCUUGGGGGCUCGUUGGGGCUGGAUGACAUGGAGGCUUGGGGGCUCGUUGGGGCUGGACAACGCGGAGGAUUGGUGGCUCGUUGGGGCUGGACGACUCAGAGGCUCGAAAGUGUAUUGGACUGUAAUAGGCAUUGCGUGAUUAUGUCUCUGUGGAUGCUGAUGGCAAAGAUGUUGGGACAUAUGAAAGCAACAGACUUUGCUUUUCUUCAAUAUCGAAAGAUGCUAUUUUUCUAGACAAGGAACUUGCUGCUAGUGGUUUUAGUAGAAAGGAUCAAGAAGACAUUGAAAAGUUCAUCGAAGAAGGUGUUGGUUCCUUGCACUUGGAAGAUCAGGACGACCAAACAAUAGAUUAUGCGGAGGCAGGGGAGCUCAAGGACAAAGAACAUGAUCACUAAGCAGGUGAAAGCAGCAUACCUGAAACUGAAGAUACAAAUGACGAUGAGGGGGGAUGAGUCCGCAGAUGAAGAUGAGGCAAAACUGGCAAGGAGCUUAAACAAGCAGAGGAAACACGCUAUAUCGGCAGUGCAUAGGGGACGAGGAAAAACUGUCUCCAGAAAUUCCUACAAAGACAAGGGUGGUCUAUAUUGAGAUGCAUUUCUUUGGUGCAAUACUAGACAACAUUGGCAGUUAAAGUUUUUAGAAUAAAAAAUAUAUUUCACUUACAUUGUAUACAUUUUUUGUUUAAUAUUUGGUGAUGAUAGAAUUUGAUUGUAGUAUAAACUAUCAUGUAAUAUGAUUUUGUAAGCCGAGUAGACUAAAUAUUGAAAUUAUAUUUUUGAGUAAUUAAUAAGAAAUUAUUUUGUUGUA